This 693-nucleotide ribosomal RNA is filed under the name Bacillus sp. (in: firmicutes). RNAcentral describes it as "bacterial SSU rRNA". It matches the Rfam family "Bacterial small subunit ribosomal RNA", at positions 47 to 721 of the family's 1533-position model. Lineage: Bacteria; Bacillati; Bacillota; Bacilli; Caryophanales; Bacillaceae. The record is from RNAcentral.
CCCGUAUACAUGCAAGUCGAGCGGCAGAUGGGAGCUUGCUUCCCUGUUGUUAGCGGCGGACGGGUGAGUAACACGUGGGUAACCUGCCUGUAAGACUGGGAUAACUCCGGGAAACCGGGGCUAAUACCGGAUGGUUGUCUGAACCGCAUGGUUCAGACAUAAAAGGUGGCUUCGGCUACCACUUACAGAUGGACCCGCGGCGCAUUAGCUAGUUGGUGAGGUAACGGCUCACCAAGGCGACGAUGCGUAGCCGACCUGAGAGGGUGAUCGGCCACACUGGGACUGAGACACGGCCCAGACUCCUACGGGAGGCAGCAGUAGGGAAUCUUCCGCAAUGGACGAAAGUCUGACGGAGCAACGCCGCGUGAGUGAUGAAGGUUUUCGGAUCGUAAAGCUCUGUUGUUAGGGAAGAACAAGUGCCGUUCAAAUAGGGCGGCACCUUGACGGUACCUAACCAGAAAGCCACGGCUAACUACGUGCCAGCAGCCGCGGUAAUACGUAGGUGGCAAGCGUUGUCCGGAAUUAUUGGGCGUAAAGGGCUCGCAGGCGGUUUCUUAAGUCUGAUGUGAAAGCCCCCGGCUCAACCGGGGAGGGUCAUUGGAAACUGGGGAACUUGAGUGCAGAAGAGGAGAGUGGAAUUCCACGUGUAGCGGUGAAAUGCGUAGAGAUGUGGAGGAACACCAGUGGCGAAGG